GCCGGGAUAGCUCAGUUGGUAGAGCAGAGGACUGAAAAUCCUCGUGUCA
This 49-nucleotide transfer RNA is filed under the name Microbiota decussata. RNAcentral describes it as "partial transfer RNA-Phe". It matches the Rfam family "tRNA", at positions 1 to 47 of the family's 71-position model. Rfam says of the family: Transfer RNA (tRNA) molecules are approximately 80 nucleotides in length. Their secondary structure includes four short double-helical elements and three loops (D, anti-codon, and T loops). The record is from RNAcentral. RNAcentral also lists the same sequence under 33 other names. Lineage: Eukaryota; Viridiplantae; Streptophyta; Pinopsida; Cupressales; Cupressaceae.